Molecule: ribosomal RNA, 583 nt
Filed under: Trichoderma spirale
Lineage: Eukaryota; Fungi; Ascomycota; Sordariomycetes; Hypocreales; Hypocreaceae
Description: eukaryotic LSU rRNA
Rfam family: 5.8S ribosomal RNA (bases 200-353)
Source: RNAcentral
GGGCUUCGGGCUGCGCUCCCAACCCAAUGUGAACGUUACCAAACUGUUGCCUCGGCGGGAUCUCUGCCCCGGGUGCGUCGCAGCCCCGGACCAAGGCGCCCGCCGGAGGACCAACCAAAACUCUUUUGUAUACCCCCUCGCGGGUUUUUAUAUCUGAGCCAUCUCGGCGCCUCUCGUAGGCGUUUCGAAAAUGAAUCAAAACUUUCAACAACGGAUCUCUUGGUUCUGGCAUCGAUGAAGAACGCAGCGAAAUGCGAUAAGUAAUGUGAAUUGCAGAAUUCAGUGAAUCAUCGAAUCUUUGAACGCACAUUGCGCCCGCCAGUAUUCUGGCGGGCAUGCCUGUCCGAGCGUCAUUUCAACCCUCGAACCCCUCCGGGGGGUCGGCGUUGGGGAUCGGCCCUUUACGGGGCCGGCCCCGAAAUACAGUGGCGGUCUCGCCGCAGCCUCUCCUGCGCAGUAGUUUGCACACUCGCAUCGGGAGCGCGGCGCGUCCAUUGCCGUAAAACACCCAACUUUCUGAAAUGUUGACCUCGGAUCAGGUAGGAAUACCCGCUGAACUUAAGCAUAUCAAAGCCGGGAGGAA